AGUGAACGCUGGCGGCGUGCCUAAUACAUGCAAGUCGAACGGAAUUUAAGAGAGCUUGCUCUUUUAAAUUUAGUGGCGCACGGGUGAGUAAUAUAUAGCUAAUCUGCCCCUUGCCGGAGGACAACAGUUAGAAAUGACUGCUAAUACUCCAUACUCCUUUUUACCAUAAGAUAAAUCGGGAAAGAAUUUCGGCAAGGGAUGAGACUAUAUCGUAUCAGCUAGUCGGUGGGGUAACGGCCUACCGAGGCUAUGACGCGUAACUGGUCUGAGAGGAUGAUCAGUCACAUUGGAACUGAGACACGGUCCAAACUCCUACGGGAGGCAGCAGUAGGGAAUAUUGCGCAAUGGGGGAAACCCUGACGCAGCAACGCCGCGUGGAGGAUGACACUUUUCGGAGCGUAAACUCCUUUUGUUAGGGAAGAAUAAUGACGGACCUAACGAAU
Molecule: ribosomal RNA, 443 nt
Filed under: Campylobacter gracilis
Lineage: Bacteria; Pseudomonadati; Campylobacterota; Epsilonproteobacteria; Campylobacterales; Campylobacteraceae
Description: bacterial SSU rRNA
Rfam family: Bacterial small subunit ribosomal RNA
Source: RNAcentral